RNAcentral lists this small RNA (119 nucleotides) under Parvibaculum lavamentivorans DS-1. RNAcentral's name for it is "EcpR1". It matches the Rfam family "EcpR1". Rfam says of the family: Perviously named SmelC291, SmrC10, or Sra33. According to its overproduction phenotype it was renamed Elongated Cell Phenotype RNA1. Lineage: Bacteria; Pseudomonadati; Pseudomonadota; Alphaproteobacteria; Hyphomicrobiales; Parvibaculaceae. The record is from Rfam by way of RNAcentral.
UGUCCUCGUGGGGCGCUCAGGUCCGCCGCAUCUCCUGAGUCCGCGGGGCACGGCCGGCCGGGUCCGUGGUUGUGGAGUGGCCUCCUCUGAUAAGCCGCGAUUCCCUGGCCGGCCACUAU